RNAcentral lists this ribosomal RNA (1358 nucleotides) under uncultured bacterium. Its description in RNAcentral is "bacterial SSU rRNA". It matches the Rfam family "Bacterial small subunit ribosomal RNA", at positions 28 to 1381 of the family's 1533-position model. The record is from RNAcentral.
GAUGAACGCUAGCUACAGGCUUAACACAUGCAAGUCGAGGGGCAGCAUGGUCUUAGCUUGCUAAGGCCGAUGGCGACCGGCGCACGGGUGAGUAACACGUAUCCAACCUGCCGUCUACUCUUGGACAGCCUUCUGAAAGGAAGAUUAAUACAAGAUGGCAUCAUGAGUCCACAUGUUCACAUGAUUAAAGGUAUUCCGGUAGACGAUGGGGAUGCGUUCCAUUAGAUAGUAGGCGGGGUAACGGCCCACCUAGUCUUCGAUGGAUAGGGGUUCUGAGAGGAAGGUCCCCCACAUUGGAACUGAGACACGGUCCAAACUCCUACGGGAGGCAGCAGUGAGGAAUAUUGGUCAAUGGGCGAGAGCCUGAACCAGCCAAGUAGCGUGAAGGAUGACUGCCCUAUGGGUUGUAAACUUCUUUUAUAAAGGAAUAAAGUCGGGUAUGGAUACCCGUUUGCAUGUACUUUAUGAAUAAGGAUCGGCUAACUCCGUGCCAGCAGCCGCGGUAAUACGGAGGAUCCGAGCGUUAUCCGGAUUUAUUGGGUUUAAAGGGAGCGUAGAUGGAUGUUUAAGUCAGUUGUGAAAGUUUGCGGCUCAACCGUAAAAUUGCAGUUGAUACUGGAUAUCUUGAGUGCAGUUGAGGCAGGCGGAAUUCGUGGUGUAGCGGUGAAAUGCUUAGAUAUCACGAAGAACUGCGAUUGCGAAGGCAGCCUGCUAAGCUGCAACUGACAUUGAGGCUCGAAAGUGUGGGUAUCAAACAGGAUUAGAUACCCUGGUAGUCCACACGGUAAACGAUGAAUACUCGCUGUUUGCGAUAUACAGCAAGCGGCCAAGCGAAAGCGUUAAGUAUUCCACCUGGGGAGUACGCCGGCAACAGUGAAACUCAAAGGAAUUGACGGGGGCCCGCACAAGCGGAGGAACAUGUGGUUUAAUUCGAUGAUACGCGAGGAACCUUACCCGGGCUUAAAUUGCAGAUGAAUUACGGUGAAAGCCGUAAGCCGCAAGGCAUCUGUGAAGGUGCUGCAUGGUUGUCGUCAGCUCGUGCCGUGAGGUGUCGGCUUAAGUGCCAUAACGAGCGCAACCCUUGUUGUCAGUUACUAACAGGUUCCGCUGAGGACUCUGACAAGACUGCCAUCGUAAGAUGUGAGGAAGGUGGGGAUGACGUCAAAUCAGCACGGCCCUUACGUCCGGGGCUACACACGUGUUACAAUGGGGGGUACAGAGGGCCGCUACCACGCGAGUGGAUGCCAAUCCCAAAAACCUCUCUCAGUUCGGACUGGAGUCUGCAACCCGACUCCACGAAGCUGGAUUCGCUAGUAAUCGCGCAUCAGCCACGGCGCGGUGAAUACGUUCCCGGGCCU